AACGAACGCUGGCGGCAGGCCUAACACAUGCAAGUCGAACGCUCCGCAAGGGGAGUGGCGCACGGGUGAGUAACACGUGGGAACCUACCUUCUGGUACGGAACAACCAAGGGAAACUUUGGCUAAGACCGUAUACGACCUCCGGGUGAAAGAUUGAUCGCCGGAAGAGGGGCCCGCGUCCGAUUAGGUAGUUGGUGAGGUAACGGCUCACCAAGCCUUCGAUCGGUAGCUGGUCUGAGAGGAUGGCCAGCCACACUGGGACUGAGACACGGCCCAGACUCCUACGGGAGGCAGCAGUGGGGAAUAUUGGACAAUGGGCGCAAGCCUGAUCCAGCCAUGCCGCGUGAGGGAUGACGGCCU
RNAcentral lists this ribosomal RNA (359 nucleotides) under uncultured bacterium. RNAcentral's name for it is "bacterial SSU rRNA". It matches the Rfam family "Bacterial small subunit ribosomal RNA", at positions 29 to 417 of the family's 1533-position model. The record is from RNAcentral.